AGAGUUUGAUCCUGGCUCAGGACGAACGCUGGCGGCGUGCUUAACACAUGCAAGUCAUGGGGGCCCAGCAAUGGGCAACCGGCGGACGGGUGCGUAACACGUGAGCGACCUACCGAGACGCGGGGGAUAGCCGGCCCAACGGCCGGGUAAUACCGCAUACGUUCUUUGGGUUUCAUGGCCUGAAGAGGAAACCUUCGCAAGAGGGGCAUUUCGAGGGGCUCGCGGCCUAUCAGCUAGUUGGUGCGGUAAUGGCGCACCAAGGCGACGACGGGUAGCUGGUCUGAGAGGAUGGCCAGCCACAUUGGGACUGAGAGACGGCCCAGACUCCUACGGGAGGCAGCAGUGGGGAAUCUUGCGCAAUGGCCGAAAGGCUGACGCAGCGACGCCGCGUGUGGGAGGACGCCCUUCGGGGUGUAAACCACUGUUGCCCGGGACGAAUGGCCUGUUUGAGCGGGCUUGACGGUACCGGGUGAGGAAGCGCCGGCUAACUCCGUGCCAGCAGCCGCGGUAAUACGGAGGGCGCGAGCGUUGUCCGGAAUCACUGGGCGUAAAGGGCGCGUAGGCGGCGCGAUAAGGCUUGCGUGAAAGUCCGGGGCUCAACCCCGGAUCGGCGCGGGCGACUGUCGGGCUGGAGCACGGUAGGGGCAGACGGAAUUCCGGGUGUAGCGGUGGAAUGCGUAGAGAUCCGGAAGAACACCGGUGGCGAAGGCGGUCUGCUGGGCCGGAAUGGGGAGUUGGUCUAACGACGAAUUCUCCAGUGCUGACGCUGAGGCGCGACAGCGUGGGGAGCAAACAGGAUUAGAUACCCCCGUAGUCC
Molecule: ribosomal RNA, 817 nt
Filed under: uncultured Gemmatimonas sp.
Lineage: Bacteria; Pseudomonadati; Gemmatimonadota; Gemmatimonadia; Gemmatimonadales; Gemmatimonadaceae
Description: bacterial SSU rRNA
Rfam family: Bacterial small subunit ribosomal RNA
Source: RNAcentral